Molecule: long non-coding RNA, 1517 nt
Filed under: Struthio camelus australis
Lineage: Eukaryota; Metazoa; Chordata; Aves; Struthioniformes; Struthionidae
Description: lncRNA (ENSSCUG00000001764.1)
Source: RNAcentral
UUAAGAGAGAGAGAGGAUAAACAUCAAAAUAGCUUCUCAUUGGAAAGACUGUGGAAUAAUCUAAUACGUGAAGACACGGAAGUCCGAAACAAAUGUAGUAUAAAUUCCUUCCCAGAGUCUUUGCAGAUACAAGCAUCGGCCACAAUUAACUUCAGAAGCUGAAUAUUUCUAAGCAACUGGUAUCAGCUUCCAGAAGAAGCUGGGGGCAGGGGGAGAGGCAGGUUAAAAGGGAUAGUUUCCAGAUAAUUCGGUGUUAACACUCAUUCAAAAGCAUGUAAGGGGAGGAGACAAAAGAACACUUUUAUUUUCAGUUCGGUGUGUGAAGUGAGCACACUGGAACCCCCCAAAAGUGCAGUUCUGGCAAUCUAGACAGUAGCCUGUUCCUGGAUGGAUAGUUUUCCGGUCGAGACAGAUAGUUGGUUUAAAUCUGCCUCAGGUCUGAAGUGACUGGAAAUCAACACCAGAUAAUGGCUGUUUGGUAGAUGAUGUGACAUGGGUUAAUGCACUCGGCCAAAUUUCUACUGGAUAUUGGACAUGCGCUCACAUUACAAAUGCUUCCAACAGCAUGCUCAGUAUUAAAUUAACAUCUAUGCUGACAAUCUUGCCAAAGAAAUCCAGAAGAGGAUGGACAUUAGUGAUGAACUGCACGUUCACCUUUGGAGUGAAGUCAUUAGCAAGCUUUCGUCAUGUGGCUGGAGCCAACUCUCCCGAAUUUGCAAAGAUCGACAGCUCCAGAGCUCACUGGGCCCCAUCCAACGCUCACAGGCCGUGAUGGAGGCAUUUCCAUGGAGCCGGACAGACGGUGGAUCACGACCCGGACUCAGGAGGUUGUGUAUAAAAAGUAUUGCAGGUCCUGGAUGGGAAGCUGGGUCACAGUUGUUCCAUGCUGUUGCGUGGCUAUAUCAAAUGGCAAACAACGAACCUGGACUUCCUUCAGGUCUGCACACGUAAGUCCUGCUGUUUGUGGGGUGGCCCAUCUGAAGUGUCACUGGAUGGCACUCUCAGAAGUGGAAAUUGCUGGGACAGCGACAUAAACUGAGGGUCUGCCUGGUCUUCAUCCUGGUCAGCUGUGAGAGCAACAGAUCUCCAGCGUGUCAGGGAACCGACUACGUCUGCCAGAGGAAAGGACUUAUCCUACUCAACUACCACACUGUACAGCCUUCCUGAGGCUCGGCCAGGGAUGCUGCAUUGAAGAUCUGGUGGGAGAAUGGUCAAAUGCCGAGCUACUGGGGGAUCUGGGUACAUGUCUCAUGAGAGGGGAGGUAUUUCCCAUACCCUCUGUUCACCAGUGCUGGAUGUAGGUUACUGACACCAGGACAACUAGACCAGCUUGUAGAGCACCCUGGAAAGGCCUUUAGGAAGCAGAGCUCCCCCAGGUAGGCUGGGGACAGCCACAGCCAGCUCAGAGGACAGAAAUCAAGCAGUCUUCUUGCAGUGACAGCCAAACUUCCUCUUGUUCACUGGUAGUACUACCCACAUUAUCAGUGUUUUUCCUUCACCAAGGUAUCCUCACCUUA